This 306-nucleotide unclassified non-coding RNA is filed under the name plant metagenome. RNAcentral describes it as "partial contains 5.8S ribosomal RNA, internal transcribed spacer 2, and large subunit ribosomal RNA". The stretch from base 1 to 105 matches the Rfam family "5.8S ribosomal RNA", at positions 50 to 154 of the family's 154-position model. The record is from RNAcentral.
GAAAUGCGAUAAGUAAUGUGAAUUGCAGAAUUCAGUGAAUCAUCGAAUCUUUGAACGCACAUUGCGCCCGCCAGUAUUCUGGCGGGCAUGCCUGUCCGAGCGUCAUUUCAACCAUCAAGCCCCCGGGCUUGUGUUGGGGACCUGUAGCUGCCCGCAGGCCCUGAAAACCAGUGGCGGGCUCGCUGUCACACCGAGCGUAGUAGCAAUCACCUCGCUCAGGGCGUGCUGCGGGUUCCGGCCGUUAAACAGCCUUACAAAACCCAAGGUUGACCUCGGAUCAGGUAGGAAGACCCGCUGAACUUAAGC